UACAGGGGGGGCAAGCGUUGUUCGGAAUUACUGGGCGUAAAGGGUUUGUAGGUGGCUUGCUAAGUCAGACGUGAAAUCCCUCAGCUUAACCGGGGAACUGCAUCUGAUACUGGAUGGCUUGAGAUUGGGAGAGGGAUGCGGAAUUCCAGGUGUAGCGGUGAAAUGCGUAGAUAUCUGGAGGAACACCGGUGGCGAAGGCGGCAUCCUGGACCAACACUGACGCUGAGGAGCGAAAGCUAGGGGAGCGAACGGG
Molecule: ribosomal RNA, 253 nt
Filed under: uncultured bacterium
Lineage: Bacteria
Description: partial 16S ribosomal RNA
Rfam family: Bacterial small subunit ribosomal RNA
Source: RNAcentral